This is a small nucleolar RNA of Pelmatolapia mariae (spotted tilapia), 108 nucleotides long. RefSeq annotates it as small nucleolar RNA snR34. The transcript has a single exon. The record is from RefSeq and is a predicted model, not a curated record. Lineage: Eukaryota; Metazoa; Chordata; Actinopteri; Cichliformes; Cichlidae.
GAUACAGAAAUUAGUUUUCUAUACGAAAUCACUGCAACAGUAGGGUGGACACUUACCCUACUGUUACUGUUUUUUUUAAGAUUUAAAAAUCUAGUUGGUAUUGCUUUC